CUUAAAGGAAUUGACGGGGACCCGCACAAGCGGUGGAUGAUGUGGUUUAAUUCGAUGCAACGCGAAAAACCUUACCUACCCUUGACAUGUCUGGAAUUCCGCAGAGAUGAGGAAGUGCUCGAAAGAGAACCAGAACACAGGUGCUGCAUGGCCGUCGUCAGCUCGUGUCGUGAGAUGUUGGGUUAAGUCCCGCAACGAGCGCAACCCUUGUCAUUAGUUGCUACGAAAGGGCACUCUAAUGAGACUGCCGGUGACAAACCGGAGGAAGGUGGGGAUGACGUCAGGUCCUCAUGGCCCUUAUGGGUAGGGCUACACACGUCAUACAAUGGCCGGUACAGAGGGCUGCCAACCCGCGAGGGGGAGCUAAUCCCAGAAAACCGGUCGUAGUCCGGAUCGCAGUCUGCAACUCGACUGCGUGAAGUCGGAAUCGCUAGUAAUCGCGGAUCAGCUUGCCGCGGUGAAUACGUUCCCGGGUCUUGUACACACCGCCCGUCACACCAUGGGGAACCGGGUUCUUGCCAAGAAGUAGUUAGCCUAACCCGCAAGGGAGGGCCGAUUACCACGGCAGGGUUCGUGACUGGGGUUGAAGUCUUACCANGGUAGCCCGUUNUCGGAAAGGUGCCGCUUGGAUCAACUUCCNUUUUUGGAAAAAGCACUUCCAAUUUAAAGCCGCUNACACUUAUUCGGCUGGUGGGU
Molecule: ribosomal RNA, 696 nt
Filed under: uncultured Pseudomonas sp.
Lineage: Bacteria; Pseudomonadati; Pseudomonadota; Gammaproteobacteria; Pseudomonadales; Pseudomonadaceae
Description: bacterial SSU rRNA
Rfam family: Bacterial small subunit ribosomal RNA
Source: RNAcentral